UGCUCAGUAACACGUGGAUAACCUACCCUUAGGACCGGAAUAACCCCGGGAAACUGGGGAUAAUACCGGAUAAGCCAUAGACGCUGGAAUGCCCUAUGGUUCAAAGCUCCGGCGCCUAAGGAUGGAUCUGCGGUCUAUCAGGUUGUAGUGGGUGUAACGUACCUACUAGCCGACGACGGAUACGGGUUGUGAGAGCAAGAGCCCGGAGAUGGAUUCUGAGACACGAAUCCAGGCCCUACGGGGUGCAGCAGGCGCGAACACUUUACAAUGCGGGAAACCGCGAUAAGGGAACCCCGAGUGCCAGCAUCAAAUGUUGGCUGUCCGGAUGAUUAAAAAUCAUUUGUUAGCAAGGGCCGGGCAAGACCGGUGCCAGCCGCCGCGGUAACACCGGCGGCCCGAGUGGUAGCCGUUUUUAUUGGGUCUAAAGGGUCCGUAGCCGGCCUGAUAAGUCCUUUGGGAAAUCUGGCAGCUUAACUGUCAGGCUUCUAAGGGAUACUGUCAGGCUUGGGACCGGAAGAGGUAAGGGGUACUCCAGGGGUAGGAGUGAAAUCUUGUAAUCCCUGGGGGACCAUCUGUGGCGAAGGCGCCUUACCAGAACGGGUCCGACGGUGAGGGACGAAAGCUAGGGGAGCAAACCGGAUUAGAUACCCGGGUAGUCCUAGCUGUAAACGAUGCUCGCUAGGUGUCAGACACGGUGCGACCGUGUUUGGUGCCGCAGGGAAGCCGUUAAGCGAGCCACCUGGGAAGUACGGUCGCAAGGCUGAAACUUAAAGGAAUUGGCGGGGGAGCACUACAACGGGUGGAGCCUGCGGUUUAAUUGGAUUCAACGCCGGAAAACUCACCGGGUGCGACAGCAACAUGUAGGUCAGGCUGAAGGUCUUACCUGAAUCGCUGAGAGGAGGUGCAUGGCCGUCGUCAGUUCGUACUGUGAAGCAUCCUGUUAAGUCAGGCAACGAGCGAGACCCGCGCCCACAGUUGCCAGCAUGUUCUCUGGAACGAUGGGUACACUGUGGGGACCGCCGCUGCUAAAGCGGAGGAAGGAACGGGCUACGGUAGGUCAGUAUGCCCCGAAUCUCCCGGGCUACACGCGGGCUACAAUGGUUGGGAACAUGGGCACCUACCCUG
Molecule: ribosomal RNA, 1125 nt
Filed under: uncultured archaeon
Lineage: Archaea
Description: bacterial SSU rRNA
Rfam family: Archaeal small subunit ribosomal RNA
Source: RNAcentral